RNAcentral lists this transfer RNA (73 nucleotides) under Crassvirales sp. RNAcentral's name for it is "tRNA-Met". It matches the Rfam family "tRNA". From Rfam's summary of the family: Transfer RNA (tRNA) molecules are approximately 80 nucleotides in length. Their secondary structure includes four short double-helical elements and three loops (D, anti-codon, and T loops). The record is from RNAcentral. Lineage: Duplodnaviria; Heunggongvirae; Uroviricota; Caudoviricetes; Crassvirales.
CGCGGAGUAUAUCAGAGGUAGAUAACCAGGCUCAUAACCUGUGAGGUCGGCGGUUCGAAUCCAUCCUCCGCAA